RNAcentral lists this ribosomal RNA (351 nucleotides) under Haematobacter massiliensis. RNAcentral describes it as "bacterial SSU rRNA". It matches the Rfam family "Bacterial small subunit ribosomal RNA", at positions 34 to 413 of the family's 1533-position model. Lineage: Bacteria; Pseudomonadati; Pseudomonadota; Alphaproteobacteria; Rhodobacterales; Paracoccaceae. The record is from RNAcentral.
CGCUGGCGGCAGGCCUAACACAUGCAAGUCGAGCGAGGACUUCGGUCCUAGCGGCGGACGGGUGAGUAACGCGUGGGAACGUGCCCUUUGCUUCGGAAUAGCCCUGGGAAACUGGGAGUAAUACCGGAUGAGCCCUUUGGGGGAAAGAUUUAUCGGCGAAGGAUCGGCCCGCGUUGGAUUAGGUAGUUGGUGGGGUAAUGGCCUACCAAGCCGACGAUCCAUAGCUGGUUUGAGAGGAUGAUCAGCCACACUGGGACUGAGACACGGCCCAGACUCCUACGGGAGGCAGCAGUGGGGAAUCUUAGACAAUGGGGGAAACCCUGAUCUAGCCAUGCCGCGUGAGCGAUGAAG